CAUAGCGACUAUCGUGGCAUAUCAAUAAGCGGAGGAAAAGAAACUAACAAGGAUUCCCUUAGUAACGGCGAGUGAAGCGGGAAGAGCUCAGAUUUGAAAUCUUCAAGGUUCUACCUUGACGAAUUGUAGUUUAUAGAAGUGUUUUCUGUUAGUAGAGUGGCAAAAGUUCUUUGGAAUAGGACAUCAUAGAGGGUGAGAAUCCCGUAUUUGGUCAUUCUUUCUAGCUUUGUGAUACACUUUCAACGAGUCGGAUUGUUUGGGAAUGCAGUCCAAAAUGGGUGGUAAAUUUCAUCUAAAGCUAAAUAUUGGCGAGAGACCGAUAGCGAACAAGUACCGUGAGGGAAAGAUGAAAAGAACUUUGAAAAGAGAGUUAAACAGUACGUGAAAUUGUCAAAAGGGAAGCGUUUGACACCAGUGUUGUUUUUCCGAAAAUCAAUUACGAAUGUUUUAUUUUUGAGAAGUUAUGACUUCAUCGGCUUGCUUCUCUCUUUAUGAAACUUUCUUAAUGCACUUUUCGGUUAACAAGUCAACAUCAAUUUCUUUUGUUGUAAAAGGGUAUGAGGAAGGUGGCUUUCUUUUCGGAGAAAGUGUUUAUAGCCUUGUACCUCUGCAAUCGGAGAGAUUGAGGUCUGCAGCGUAGAUCCUUCGGGGUUAGAUACAUUUGUGCUAAGUUAUAGCUUUUCAUAGACAACUUGUUGACUAUGUUUAGUCUUGUAGCUUACUCGCUUAUGCUAUUUUACCUACGCUUAGGAUGUUGAUAGUCACAGCGUGUAC
RNAcentral lists this ribosomal RNA (774 nucleotides) under uncultured Neocallimastigales. RNAcentral describes it as "partial large subunit ribosomal RNA". It matches the Rfam family "Eukaryotic large subunit ribosomal RNA", at positions 22 to 644 of the family's 3401-position model. Lineage: Eukaryota; Fungi; Neocallimastigomycota; Neocallimastigomycetes; Neocallimastigales. The record is from RNAcentral.